This is a long non-coding RNA of Catharus ustulatus (Swainson's thrush), 371 nucleotides long. RefSeq lists it as uncharacterized. NCBI's taxonomy places the organism in Eukaryota, Metazoa, Chordata, Aves, Passeriformes, Turdidae. The record is from RefSeq and is a predicted model, not a curated record. The transcript has 3 exons.
AACUGUUUGGAAAUGCCAAAAAGAAGUGCUCACCAGAUGUGGCAGCUCUAAACUGGGGGAAGAGCUCUGUCAGUGGAGGGAAUGAGAAAAGAAUUCCCUGCCAAAAUGCUACUGGAGCCAGGAUUUGGCAGCUUGUGUUUGCCCUGUGGAACCAGGGAGGAGUUCCCAGGCAUGGUCUGACUCCGUGCUGGAACAACAUCAAGAUUCCCUGAAGCUGGGGUGCACAGUUGUUUCAGGAAGAGCCUGAAGUUAAGUUUUCAUAGGGGGUUUCAAAGAUCCAUCCCUACUGCCUGGUCUGAAAUGAUCUGAACUGCAGACAAAGGAAUGGAUUUAGCCUGGUUCAGUCUGGGUGUUGAGGGAGAUUCAGAGUC